UACGUAGGGGGCAAGCGUUGUCCGGAUUUAUUGGGCGUAAAGAGCGUGUAGGCGGCUAUGCAGGUCCGUUGUGAAAACUCGAGGCUCAACCUCGAGACGCCGAUGGAAACCGCAUGGCUAGAGUCCGGAAGAGGAGAGUGGAAUUCCUGGUGUAGCGGUGAAAUGCGCAGAUAUCAGGAGGAACACCGAUGGCGAAGGCAGGUCACUGGGCCGCAACUGACGCUGAGGAGCGAAAGCAUGGGGAGCGAACAGG
This 253-nucleotide ribosomal RNA is filed under the name uncultured bacterium. RNAcentral's name for it is "partial 16S ribosomal RNA". It matches the Rfam family "Bacterial small subunit ribosomal RNA", at positions 524 to 776 of the family's 1533-position model. The record is from RNAcentral.